GCCAUGCUCGCGCCAAAGUAGACGCGCCUCAUUUGUUAACCCACGAAUAUUGAGAGCACGGUAGGAGUGGACAGGCGGAGGAAGCUACUAUUGCCUGUCCCAUAACUAUCCGUAGCUCUGCGGACUACUCGGGGUUCUCAUCGAACAGCAGCAGCAACAACGGCACCUCAGCAUUGUCGUCGGCUACAUUCUUCCUGGUCCGCACAGCUACAACAACAUAACCAUGGACCUCACAGCGCAGAUCGUAAAUCUCAUGGCACAUAUACAACAGACGCAACAGACGUUUGGAGCCGCAGCCUGCCAUAGCGUCUCCGCUACAAAUUAAACUUCCAGCACCACCUUUCGCAGUUUACAACAGCAAGGAAGAAGCGUGGCUGGACUAUGCAGCAUGCCUGGAACAGCACUUCCUCACCCACCAGAUAUCAGACUCAAAAGCAGGUGUCAACCCCGAGCAGCUCACAGGAUUUGACGCUGAUGCAGCACCUUCAGGGGCAGCCGACUACACCAGCCGUCCACAGCCGACACCCCCAGAGCAGAUGGGCAUCGAAGAAGAAUUAGAUUUAAACUAUGACCAAUGUACCGAUGUUGAAAUGCAAUUAUGUAAUAAAAUUUUUGCUUCUCCAGUUCCCUGUUCCGUAGGUUUUGAGUAGGUUUUCCUAGCGGACCGCACGGGGAGCAACAUGUGUGCACCCACAGACAUACGCACACCGGAAAGUAAGGAAGCAGAAAAUAAAGCCUUUUCAAGCAAACUUCAAAAGCUUUUUUUCUUCCCCCAGAAGGGAGGGAUGUUGUGUACGUAGUUCUGCAUAGUCAGCACAUACACAACUUUCCCACUAGAGCGCGUCCCGCUAAGCACAACAGCCCAGGCGCAGCACUCGCCCAUCUCCGCACUACGAGAUGGCGCUGUCUUAGAGACGGACCAAAUUCUGCUUCCGCCGAUUCGCGUAUUAAUAUGUAACACAGCCAAUGAGAUUGCUGC
Schistocerca serialis cubense is the source of this 979-nucleotide long non-coding RNA. RefSeq lists it as uncharacterized. Lineage: Eukaryota; Metazoa; Arthropoda; Insecta; Orthoptera; Acrididae. The record is from RefSeq and is a predicted model, not a curated record. The transcript is spliced from 3 exons.